This 253-nucleotide ribosomal RNA is filed under the name uncultured bacterium. Its description in RNAcentral is "partial 16S ribosomal RNA". It matches the Rfam family "Bacterial small subunit ribosomal RNA", at positions 524 to 776 of the family's 1533-position model. The record is from RNAcentral.
GACGUAGGGUGCGAGCGUUGUCCGGAUUUAUUGGGCGUAAAGAGCUCGUAGGCGGCUCGUCGCGUCGACCGUGAAAACCCGCGGCUUAACUGCGGGCUUGCGGUUGAUACGGGCGGGCUAGAGUUCGGUAGGGGAGACUGGAAUUCCUGGUGUAGCGGUGAAAUGCGCAGAUAUCAGGAAGAACACCAAUGGCGAAGGCAGCUCUCUGGGACGGUACUGACGCUGAGACGCGAAAGCGUGGGGAGCGAACAGG